Molecule: long non-coding RNA, 412 nt
Organism: Melanaphis sacchari
Lineage: Eukaryota; Metazoa; Arthropoda; Insecta; Hemiptera; Aphididae
Exons: 4
Source: RefSeq, a predicted model, not a curated record
UGCAGAGAUAAUCAGUUUUUGUAAUUAAAUUUACCACAGGAUAAUGGAUAUAAUAUCGUCAUAUAAUCGUCAAUAAUUACAUGGGAUAGUUUCGUUUACUCACCACGUCUGACGUACCUACCUGAUGACCGGGUGUCUGUCUGCCACUGUGCUCGUCCGCAACCAUGGCUAGACCGGUUGCACUUUGUCACGGACCUCGCCGGAAACAGUGACCGCAAUUUUUACAGCUGGUGUCUGUUGGUCAGCCACGAAGAUGAAUCACGAACACGCAUAUAUGUACAUCUUAAUUCCGAGACAUUUAGCAGUUUCAAAAUACUUUAUCAAGACAUCUGGAUGGUGUAUUUGAAACCAGCACAGUUCUGGCUAAACCGGGAAAUAUAUAGUAAUUUUAUCUUAGCUAUAUAAUUAAUAA